CCUACGGGUGGCAGCAGUGAGGAAUAUUGGUCAAUGGGCGUAAGCCUGAACCAGCCAAGUCGCGUGAGGGAUGAAGGUUCUAUGGAUCGUAAACUUCUUUUAUAAGGGAAUAAAGUGUGGGACGUGUCCUGUUUUGUAUGUACCUUAUGAAUAAGGAUCGGCUAACUCCGUGCCAGCAGCCGCGGUAAUACGGAGGAUCCGAGCGUUAUCCGGAUUUAGUGGGUUUAAAGGGUGCGUAGGCGGCCUUUUAAGUCAGCGGUGAAAGUCUGUGGCUCAACCAUAGAAUUGCCGUGGAAACUGGGAGUCUUGAGUAUAGUUGAGGCAGGCGGAAUGCGUGGUGUAGCGGUGAAAUGCUUAGAUAUCACGCAGAACCCCGAUUGCGAAGGCAGCCUGCCAAGCCAUGACUGACGCUGAUGCUCGAAAGCGUGGGGAUCAAACAGGAUUAGAUACCCGGGUAGUC
RNAcentral lists this ribosomal RNA (460 nucleotides) under uncultured bacterium. RNAcentral's name for it is "partial 16S ribosomal RNA". It matches the Rfam family "Bacterial small subunit ribosomal RNA", at positions 338 to 795 of the family's 1533-position model. The record is from RNAcentral.